UACGUAGGGUGCGAGCGUUAAUCGGAAUUACUGGGCGUAAAGCGUGCGCAGGCGGUUCGUUGUGUCGGUGGUGAAAGCCCUGGGCUCAACCUGGGAAUGGCAUUGGAUACUGGCGAUCUAGAGUGCGGUAGAGGGCAGUGGAAUUCCCGGUGUAGCAGUGAAAUGCGUAGAGAUCGGGAGGAACAUCUGUGGCGAAGGCGACUGCCUGGACCAGCACUGACACUGAGGCACGAAAGCGUGGGGAGCAAACAGG
Molecule: ribosomal RNA, 253 nt
Filed under: uncultured bacterium
Lineage: Bacteria
Description: partial 16S ribosomal RNA
Rfam family: Bacterial small subunit ribosomal RNA
Source: RNAcentral